Molecule: non-coding RNA, 132 nt
Filed under: Chloroflexota bacterium
Lineage: Bacteria; Bacillati; Chloroflexota
Description: Chloroflexi bacterium FMN sequence
Rfam family: FMN riboswitch aptamer (RFN element)
About the family: The RFN element is a highly conserved domain that is found frequently in the 5'-untranslated regions of prokaryotic mRNAs that encode for flavin mononucleotide (FMN) biosynthesis and transport proteins. This element is a metabolite-dependent riboswitch that directly binds FMN in the absence of proteins. In Bacillus subtilis, the riboswitch most likely controls gene expression by causing premature transcription termination within the 5' untranslated region of the ribDEAHT operon and precluding access to the ribosome-binding site of ypaA mRNA.
Source: RNAcentral
AAUAGCCUUCGGGGCAGGGUGAAAUUCCCGAUCGGUGGUUAAAGCCCACGAGUAUGCCCGUUAUCAACGAGCAUACAGGAUGCGAUGAAAUUCCGCAGCCGACGGUUACAGUCCGGAUGAAAGAAGGUUGAG